CCCACCCUUUGCAGCCCCACGCUCCUCCCCCACUGCCCCCCACAGCACACUAGGCCCUUCUGCCUGGAGCUGGGGACAGGACCCAGAAAUGUCAUGGUUCACACAGUAUGGCAGCCAUAUUGUGAGGAAGCCCAAGCCACCCGGAGAGGCCACUGUAGGUGCUCUGGGCCAACAGCCUCCAUUAAGGUCUCCACCUUAGGCCAGCUUCAGUGCUCAACAUGUGCACAAACGACUCUCCAAAUGAUUCCUGCUCCUGACUGCAACCAUCUCAGCACUGGACGCCAUCACAUGGACGCCCCUGGCCACAGCCCUCUCAGGAGGGUAGACCGGGAAGAGCUGUCACUAUACAGAUGCAGAAACUGGGGCUCUGAGAGAGAGGAAGGAAGAGGAAAGAAGAGGAAAAAGUAGCCCAAAGAAAGCCCCACAGCAGUCGCAGAGCUGGGACAUAAACCUUGGCUCUGCCACAAAGCCCAUCAUCCACAGAGACUUCUGACUCGGAUGAUUCCCACACUUCCUCCAGAAUGCACAACCUAUCCUAGGGUCCCCCAGGCAGACGGAAGAUGUCAGGAGGAGGGAAGUGCAGGAUAGCCUGAGCCUGAUGAACUACAUGCCAGAAUGCCAUCACCUGCACCAUUGUGGGAGCUGCAUUCCUCUGUCUCUACGUGGACCUGAGGUUGUGCCAUAGUCCCCAAGACCCUGGGCAACCUAGCCCAGCUGGCCCUCCGGCCUUUUCUCCUCCCUCUUCCCCCUUUGCCCUAUGAGCUCCUGUCACUUGGUCUUUCUUGCUUUCUUCAACAUACCAGGCUUCCAGCCACAGGGCCUUUGCAUAUACAGUCCCCUUACUUUAGAAGACGUGCCCCAAGCCCCAGCCCCUUCCAUGUCCACAGUUAAUGCCUCUUCAUCCUUCCUUCUUUUUAAAAUAACAGCUUUAUUGACAUAUAAUUCAUAUGUCAUAUAGUUGACCUAUUUAAAACAUGUGAUUCAAUGGUUUUUAGUAUGUCCACAGAUCUGGGUAAUCAUCACCACGAUCAGUUCUAGGACAUUUGCAUCACCGUCUAAAACCCUGUACUCAUUUACCAGUCACUGCCCCCCAACUCCCACACACGCACCAUUUGGCAACCCCUAAUCUACUUUCUGUGUCUACAGAUUUGCCUAUUCUGGACGUUUCCUAUAAAUGGAGUCUUACAUUUUGG
Leopardus geoffroyi (Geoffroy's cat) is the source of this 1193-nucleotide long non-coding RNA. RefSeq lists it as uncharacterized. The transcript is spliced from 3 exons. The record is from RefSeq and is a predicted model, not a curated record. Lineage: Eukaryota; Metazoa; Chordata; Mammalia; Carnivora; Felidae.